AUGAAGCGAGUGGCGAACUGGUGAGUAACACGUGGGGAAUCUGCCCAGAAGCAGGGGAUAACACUUGGAAACAGGUGCUAAUACCGUAUAACAACAAAAUCCGCAUGGAUUUUGUUUGAAAGGUGGCUUCGGCUAUCACUUCUGGAUGAUCCCGCGGCGUAUUAGUUAGUUGGUGAGGUAAAGGCCCACCAAGACGAUGAUACGUAGCCGACCUGAGAGGGUAAUCGGCCACAUUGGGACUGAGACACGGCCCAAACUCCUACGGGAGGCAGCAGUAGGGAAUCUUCCACAAUGGACGAAAGUCUGAUGGAGCAAUGCCGCGUGAGUGAAGAAGGGUUUCGGCUCGUAAAACUCUGUUGUUAAAGAAGAACACCUUUGAGAGUAACUGUUCAAGGGUUGACGGUAUUUAACCAGAAAGCCACGGCUAACUACGUGCCAGCAGCCGCGGUAAUACGUAGGUGGCAAGCGUUGUCCGGAUUUAUUGGGCGUAAAGCGAGCGCAGGCGGUUUUUUAAGUCUGAUGUGAAAGCCUUCGGCUUAACCGGAGAAGUGCAUCGGACACUGGGAGACUUGAGUGCAGAAGAGGACAGUGGAACUCCAUGUGUAGCGGUGGAAUGCGUAGAUAUAUGGAAGAACACCAGUGGCGAAAGCGGCUGUCUAGUCUGUAACUGACGCUGAGGCUCGAAAGCAUGGUAGCGACAGGAUUAGAUACCCUGGUAGUCCAUGCCGUAACGAUGAGUGCUAGUGUUGAGGUUUCGCCCUCAGUGCUGCAGCUACGCAUAGCACUCCGCCUGGG
This 795-nucleotide ribosomal RNA is filed under the name Levilactobacillus brevis. RNAcentral's name for it is "bacterial SSU rRNA". It matches the Rfam family "Bacterial small subunit ribosomal RNA", at positions 86 to 877 of the family's 1533-position model. The record is from RNAcentral. Lineage: Bacteria; Bacillati; Bacillota; Bacilli; Lactobacillales; Lactobacillaceae.